This 253-nucleotide ribosomal RNA is filed under the name uncultured prokaryote. RNAcentral describes it as "partial 16S ribosomal RNA". It matches the Rfam family "Bacterial small subunit ribosomal RNA", at positions 525 to 777 of the family's 1533-position model. The record is from RNAcentral.
ACGAAGGGUGCAAGCAUUACUCGGAAUUACUGGGCGUAAAGCGUGCGUAGGUGGUUCGUUAAGUCCGAUGUGAAAGCCCUGGGCUCAACCUGGGAAUGGCAUUGGAUACUGGCGGGCUAGAGUGCGGUAGAGGGCAGUGGAAUUCCCGGUGUAGCAGUGAAAUGCGUAGAGAUCCGGAGGAACACCAGAGGCGAAAGCGGCGCUCUGGGCUGCACCUGACGCUGAGGCGCGAAAGCGUGGGGAGCAAACAGGA